GGGACAUGAUGGAGUUAAUAAACAGAAAACGCGACAUUCGCAUUGUCGAGGUCAGGGGUUCGAAUCCCCUAUGCUCCACCA
RNAcentral lists this transfer RNA (81 nucleotides) under Oscillospiraceae bacterium. RNAcentral's name for it is "tRNA-Ser". The stretch from base 11 to 78 matches the Rfam family "tRNA". From Rfam's summary of the family: Transfer RNA (tRNA) molecules are approximately 80 nucleotides in length. Their secondary structure includes four short double-helical elements and three loops (D, anti-codon, and T loops). The record is from RNAcentral. Lineage: Bacteria; Bacillati; Bacillota; Clostridia; Eubacteriales; Oscillospiraceae.